This 603-nucleotide ribosomal RNA is filed under the name Rhodotorula mucilaginosa. RNAcentral's name for it is "eukaryotic LSU rRNA". It matches the Rfam family "Eukaryotic large subunit ribosomal RNA", at positions 37 to 656 of the family's 3401-position model. Lineage: Eukaryota; Fungi; Basidiomycota; Microbotryomycetes; Sporidiobolales; Sporidiobolaceae. The record is from RNAcentral.
UGCAUAUCAAUAAGCGGAGGAAAAGAAACUAACAAGGAUUCCCCUAGUAGCGGCGAGCGAAGCGGGAAGAGCUCAAAUUUAUAAUCUGGCACCUUCGGUGUCCGAGUUGUAAUCUCUAGAAAUGUUUUCCGCGUUGGACCGCACACAAGUCUGUUGGAAUACAGCGGCAUAGUGGUGAGACCCCCGUAUAUGGUGCGGACGCCCAGCGCUUUGUGAUACAUUUUCGAAGAGUCGAGUUGUUUGGGAAUGCAGCUCAAAUUGGGUGGUAAAUUCCAUCUAAAGCUAAAUAUUGGCGAGAGACCGAUAGCGAACAAGUACCGUGAGGGAAAGAUGAAAAGCACUUUGGAAAGAGAGUUAACAGUACGUGAAAUUGUUGGAAGGGAAACGCUUGAAGUCAGACUUGCUUGCCGAGCAAUCGGUUUGCAGGCCAGCAUCAGUUUUCCGGGAUGGAUAAUGGUAGAGAGAAGGUAGCAGUUUCGGCUGUGUUAUAGCUCUCUGCUGGAUACAUCUUGGGGGACUGAGGAACGCAGUGUGCCUUUGGCGGGGGUUUCGACCUCUUCACACUUAGGAUGCUGGUGGAAUGGCUUUAAACGACCCGUCUUG